UUUUAAACAUAAUUCACUAGGUGUCAAAGCAUGGAAGAAAAAUGUAAAGAGUUUUUUAAAUAAGUGGAACCAAAAAACCUAAGAUUCCUUUAUAUAACUACUUUAAGUCUGUGGAUAAUGUGCAUGCAAAAAAUUCACGUUUUGACUGUACUUAUGAAAGUCUUUGUUCGAUCCCUUCAAGAGUUUUAGGAUUUAUUAUUCAUUAUUUGUGGCGUAUUUCCAAAAUCUGGAGUUAAGGAAAGAACACCCUAAAGGCAAUAUCAUUACAGUUGCUUUUUGUACACAACCAAAGUUUUGACAUUUAUGCAAACAACAGGAUUAAGCAAACAUAAAUUUCAGAUCUCCUCAAUACUGGCUUUCCCCCAUCUCUGAUGAAUAAAUGAAACACAUUGUACAAAUAUCAUAUUCACACAAUAGAAUCUAUUUAUCUACAAAUCUCUCUCUCUCUCUCUCACACACACACACACAUACACACACGCACACACGUGCAUACACACACACACACACACCACUGUCUGCCUGAAGAGAAAUCAGAGACCCCGUGCCCUCAGACAGGCACAGACACAAAUGAUUAUUCUCACUUGACAGACCAACUGUACUGCUCUUUCCUUGUAUUUCACUCCAGCCCCAGAGGGCUGGAUCAGGAAAGAGACACUUGAUAGCUGCUGUUUCCAUGGUUGAAAUAUUUGUGAAGUUAACGCAUAAUCUGAAAGCAGAAGCUAAUAAAUUAUAGGGUGCUAAUUGGAGCUGGAGAGGAGCUGUCAAUCAUGUUAUCCUAAACACAGAGAGACCCUCAUAACCUAAAAAGGCAAGACAGCCUUCAGGAGGAGCGCCCAGUUGUCUCCAGCCUUGACCUCCACCCCAGUGGAAACACCACGUCCAGGCAGGGUAGCCAGUAAAAUAUUUGACUGAAAAGUUAAUUUUUAAAGAACACAGUUGUUUAGAGAAAUGUAGAGUAAAUUUACUGGAAUAAUUAAUAUUUUGGUAAAAAUAUUACCCUUUACUUGGAAUUUUUUACUUUAAAACACAUUUAACUCAAUUAGAGAAAAAUCUAAAGUUCUCUUCAACUUGGUGUCUUGUCUGCGUCAGAUUACAGUGUUUCCAUGAGUUUAUCAAUGUACUCCUAUUAAAUGCCUCUAAAAUGGAAAUAAGACCUCCAAAUUUCCUUUGUUUUAUGAAAUUCAUUUCUUUCACCAGCAGCAGCAUAUUUUUUAUUCCAUUGUUCAGUUCUUAGAAUCUCCUGGUAAGUUCUAGUUCUACUUAUCUCCCAGAGUUUCAAAAUCACUAACUCAAACUGUCCUUCUCUGUCAUCAUUACGUCCAUUUCCUAUCAAAACUGCAUACGUUAAUAAAUAUAUAAUUAUAAUUCUAUAUAAGAAAUUUAGAUUAAAGGCAGAUCAAACUUUGGAAAACAAAACUAAAGACUUAAAAGUUCUUUGAUUCUUAGUAUUUGCAUGACUCUAGCCAUCUAGUUACCAAUUAGAAAUUUUCACCAACAUUUAUUUAAGGAGUACACACUUUAGUCUGUAUAUGUAUUUAAAACUAGUAAAAUACUUUAUGUACCUUAUGAUUUGAAAUCUUCUUUAGAAUACUUCAAAUAAAAAUGGUUUUCACUCAAGAAAAGCAAAGCAAAUAUCUUAAAAUUCUAAACACAUAAUUGCUUAAAAUAUCAUUUUCAAUUGAUGAGAAUGUCAGAGCUUAUUUCUUUUCCUGCAAAUUCUCAUUACUACAGCCUUGCCCUUACUUUUGGCAGCUGCAUUAUCUUCCCUGUGCCUGUAAUGGUAUUAGGAAGAAAUGGGAUGGAAAACAAAACAAAAAAUUAAUUUUCAUUAUUGCUGUUUAUUUUUACUAGGUACAAUCCUAUUUCUUUUUUCUUUUUUAGUGCAUUUUCCCUAAUGUGUAAUCCACCUCAGAAAGCAAUGGGAUACUUUUCCCUGUAAUAUCAUAUUACUUUUUUUCAUUGUACCUGCUUUUUUAUGGAAUUUCUUGAUAUCUAUGGAAGCACUGCCCUUGCUUUGUGGAGUGUGAAGUUCUGGGUUACCUCAGGCAGUUUCUCCUCCACACUCAGAAACUGACAGAGGACAUUGACAGACAGAUUCAGUAAGAAACAUAAAGGACAGAGCUUAUGAUAUUUGUUCUUCCUUGUUCAAAGGCUUCUUCUAAAAACACAUUCUUUGCUUGUACUUUUUGAAAGGAGUAAGAUAAGAGCCUAGGGAGGUGUCAGGCUCUUAUCCCAAGGGAAAACCAUGGUGCAGUUGUAUUUAACGGAGGUUGGUGAGAAGGAAGAUUUUCCUCACACUUUUAUACUUAAUAGUUUCAAACUAUCUAGCUAAUAAAUUUUUAAAAUAGUAAUACAGGCAUUAUUGUCUUGCAAUGAAGUUUGGAACAUUUGGUUAUUUGAUGUUUAAGAACUGAAAAUUUGAAAAAUCUGCCAUUGAGAUACUACCAUCUCCCUUUCUUGUUUGAGAUAUAAAAUUAUUGAAACUAAAAAAGAAAACUAAACACUGCCUCACCACCACAAAAUGUACCAGGCUGAAGGUUAAUAUAGGUUUUGGGUCUGAGGAGAAUGAGUUAAAAAGUACAGGUACCAUUGAACCUCCUCGUGUCACAGAACAGCAAGGACAAGACAUUAACUGUUAAAACAGAACAAAAUUAUACCACUUAGUAAUGUAUAUCUUUCUGGGAGUUCCCAUAGUGGCUCAGGUUAAGGAACCCGACUAGUAUCUAUGAGGAUGUGGGUUUGAUUCCUGGCCUUGCUGAGUAGGUUAAGGAUCCAGCGUUGCCGUGAGCUGUGGUGUAGGUCGCAGAGGCAGCUCAGAUCUUGAGUUGCUGUGGCUGUGGUGUAGGUUCACAGCUUAGUUCCAAUUUGACUCCUAGCCUGGGAACCUCCAGUGGCCGCUGGUGCUGCCCUAAAAAGACAAAAGACAAAAAAAAAGUGUAUAUCUUUCAGAUUAUAAAGGCUUCUGACUGCAUUUUUUACUGCCAUUUUAGAGUGCAUAUUUAAUUUUUGUCACUUCCUUUCUUGGAGUAAUAUCUAAUUUGAACUCAGUUAUACACGCUUUACUCUCCUUUUUACUAUAAAGAGAAGAGUUCUAAAAGGGGCUUUAUAGAAAAUGCUUUGCGUGUUGUCUGCUCAUUUCCUGAUCUAGUUCUCAUGCUUUCUUGUCCUCUGUGUCCAUAUGGAUGCUCAGAAUGAAGGUCACAGCAUCUUGUCACAGUUCUCAGGCAGACAUCAGGCUCACCAUCAGACAAUUUUGUUCAAGGGUACAUAAUCUAGAAAUUACCAGAGAACUCAACACAUUCUAGUUGACUGCUCUAUUCUUCAAAAUCUCACCUAAGUUCUGCCUCUUCCACAGAGCUUUGUCUCCACACUGUCACAGCAAGGGCUUCACUCGUAUUGGAACUCUUAACACCUAAUGUCUAUGCCAUUCUUUUGGCAUUUAUUAGUUAACAUCUCGUGACACAAGUUCAGGAUUUAAAAGGUUGCAGUAAGCCUAGAGAUCAUCCCAUUCCUCUUGACUUACAACAUUCUUUAUUCUUUUAAUUAGAUAUUAAGUACAUUGAGCAUGUCCUGCUAACUAUUGUGGGAAAAACACAAAUUACUACAUUAAAACUUUAUUAUGUGAAAACCAAUUUUAAAAUAUAGGUCGAUCUGAGGUUUAAUGUAUAUGUUUU
RNAcentral lists this long non-coding RNA (3674 nucleotides) under Sus scrofa (pig). RNAcentral's name for it is "lncRNA (ENSSSCG00005033682.1)". Lineage: Eukaryota; Metazoa; Chordata; Mammalia; Artiodactyla; Suidae. The record is from RNAcentral.